Molecule: ribosomal RNA, 380 nt
Filed under: Enterobacter asburiae
Lineage: Bacteria; Pseudomonadati; Pseudomonadota; Gammaproteobacteria; Enterobacterales; Enterobacteriaceae
Description: partial 23S ribosomal RNA
Rfam family: Bacterial large subunit ribosomal RNA
Source: RNAcentral
UAGGUUAACGAGGCGAACCGGGGGAACUGAAACAUCUAAGUACCCCGAGGAAAAGAAAUCAACCGAGAUUCCCCCAGUAGCGGCGAGCGAACGGGGAGCAGCCCAGAGUCUGAAUCAGCUUGUGUGUUAGUGGAAGCGUCUGGAAAGUCGCACGGUACAGGGUGACAGUCCCGUACACGAAAGCACACAGGUUGUGAACUCGAAGAGUAGGGCGGGACACGUGGUAUCCUGUCUGAAUAUGGGGGGACCAUCCUCCAAGGCUAAAUACUCCUGACUGACCGAUAGUGAACCAGUACCGUGAGGGAAAGGCGAAAAGAACCCCGGCGAGGGGAGUGAAAAAGAACCUGAAACCGUGUACGUACAAGCAGUGGGAGCACCUU